RNAcentral lists this unclassified non-coding RNA (2965 nucleotides) under Leishmania donovani. RNAcentral describes it as "gene:LdHU3.21.0730(CDS-product:DNA_polymerase_eta _putative)". Lineage: Eukaryota; Euglenozoa; Kinetoplastea; Trypanosomatida; Trypanosomatidae. The record is from RNAcentral.
CGCCUCACACAGCAUGUCUGGCCAUCGUCGUGCGCGAAUGUCUUCCCGAUGCGGUGCAGGUCCCAGUGACACCGGGGAAGAUGCCCGCUGCAGGUCUUCGCCGCGAGUUUUUCGCCCGUGCAGCGCUGACGCGAUGCGGUGCAUCGCGCACAUUGACAUGGACUGCUUCUACGCUCAGGUGGAGGCGGUGCGCCUCGGCGUGGACUGCCGCGUGACGCCAUUCGCGCUCGUGCAGUGGGGCAGCUUCAUCGCGGUGAACUACCCGGCCCGUGCGCGUGGGGUGAGGCGGUUUUGCCUCUCGCCGGACGAGGUAAGGCGCGAGCUGCCGGAUGUUAAGAUGUCGCACAUCGCCACAUACGCCAUGGGUGAGUCCGAGUACUGCUACCCAGAGGCUCCGCGCAUCAACACACACAAGGUGUCCUUGGAGCCGUACCGACACGCGAGCCGACAGAUCUUUGCCAUUCUCCGUGCGGAGCCCGGGGUGGUCGUCGGGAAGGCCGGCAUUGACGAGGCGUACGUUGACGUGACGGAGGCGGCGCGACAGGAACUGGCGGAGGUGCGUGCUGCCGCCGCGGGUGCCUCGCUGGACCCGCUGGCGGACGUGAUGGAGCCGUCGACGCGGCUGAUUGAGGACCGGCGCGCGGAGAUGGAGGCCUGGUUCAGCGCUCGCGGGACGUCGCUGGCUGCUGUGUUCGACGAGCCGAUGCGCGCCCUGGUGCGUGGCGAGUGCGGCGCUGAGCUGGAGGGAAGCCGCGCAUUCUGCGUUGGCGUGGACGACGCUGCGUACGCGGAGCGGUGCCUGCUGCUGUGCGCUGCAUCGCGCGUUGUGCACCGGCUGCGGCAGCGCAUCUACGCGGAGCUGCAUUACGACUGCUCUGCUGGGAUCGCGCACAACCGCGUGCUUGCGAAGUGCAUCAGCGCGACGCACAAGCCGAACCAGCAGACGCUGCUGCUGCCUGACCGGAGCGCGAGUGCGCUGUUUGAGCUGCCGCUGAGUGGGCUGCGCGGGUUUGGUGGCAAGCUCGGCGCCGCUGUGAGCGCUGUGUGCGGCGGUGUGACGGAGUGCCGCGAGGCGUGGCUUGUGCCGCUUGCGCAGCUGUGCAAGCUUGACGGGACGUGUGAUGUGGGCGACGGCGCGGAUGCUGAGGGUGACAGGGAGGGCCACGUCGAUCAAGCCUCUGCGGCUUGCAGGGGGGACACCAAAGUCGACAAUGGUGGCGGUGGCGAGGACUGCACGGAUGCCCAGGGCAGGAUGGGCUUGUACGCCUUCUACCGCUUACGCGGCUUGGGUAGUGACACUGUUGCUGAUCCGGCGUUGCCGCGGGGGAUAAAGGCGAGUAAGAUCUUCCACCCAGCGUGCAGCUCGUGGACAGCGGCGCAGCUGUGGAUAGCGCCACUGGCAGGGGAGCUGUGGCACCGGUUAAGCGAGUACGAGUCGCGCUACCACAAAGAGGGCCGAAGUUUGGUGCUUGUGUUGCGCGCGUACGUCACCGCUGAGCAGGCGCGUCGUGGGCAGCACACUCGAUCCUAUCGCGCGCAAGUGCCACUUCCGACGAACGUGCGGGACGCCAGCGAGAUCGCAGGCAUGGGGUUGCGCGAGUUUGUGAAGCUUAUGCGAGGGGUGACCACGAGGGGCAAGGGAGGCGAGCGGAGGCCGGCAUCGCCGACUCCACUGCCGUCGCCGCAUAUUCCCACCAAACCUCCGAGUAAAGUACCUGAUGCACCAACGGGCACUGCCGCGCCUUCGAGCGGUGUGUUGACGAUGCCUCCCCUCCAUGUCAUUGAGCUCUCGAUCAUCGGGCUUCGUCUGCGUCUACUGCAGGCGACGGAAGGGGGCAACGACGGCAUCACAGGCGGUGCUGGCGGAGAGACGUCGGCGUCACCGCAGCGUUCCCUGGCGGACAUGUUUUCGGCGCUCUCGGCCAACGCAGCAGGAUCUGCACUCACAGCUGUGCCUGGCGGGGGUUCACCGCGAAAGCGACACCGGAGCGGCACACGGGAUGGAGAAGUUGCGCGUGGGCCGGGACGAGAGGCCGUCGUGGAGAUCGACGAUGGUGACGAGGACGAAAACGUCAGUGAUGACUGCGUCCACUUCGACGUUCAUCUCGGCGAGGCCGCAGAGGGCAAGAGGAGCGACACGCCAUCUCAGCGGGGGCAGUCCGCGGGCCCAGCUGGAGCUUCGCCCCCACCGCUGAUGCGCACGCUCGAUGACCUUUUUUGUAGAGCUACAGCGGCUCCUAGCGCCUCUGCUGCAGAGACAGCGUCUGUGCCGACACGCGCAGUUAGGCGGGUGACAACGGUGUGCGUCGAGGAGGACGACGCAAUGGUAUGGAUGCCCCAGCAGAGUUGCGUGAGCAUCACCGAGGUGAGUUCCGGAGAAGACGAGACGAUAUCGUGAGUACUCUCGUCAGCAACGAUUCUCCCCACGUGCCGACACGUCGCGCAACCCCAUGGGCAAGGGGUGCGCGCUGAUCUAGAGGCGACUGUGGGCGGCAGCGGGGUUGGUGAUGGUGGUCGGGGUGAAGCAGUCUGGCUUUCCGUUUCCAAUCGCCUCUCCAUAUCCGUUGCGCGGUGCUACUCAUGGGAAGCCAAGCGGAGUCGCCCAUCCCUGUUGUUUUUCCAGCGCAGGAAAUGAGAGUGGCCUACAACGCGGCAGACGCGGGCGUUUGCGUCAGCACCCCUUACAGACGCGAACACAUACACAAGAUACGGCGCACGGACUCUACCGCCUCUCUCCAUAUCACCGCGUGAGGCGCAGACCCAGGUUUUGCAGUGCUGCGCCUUGUGGCACCACCACAGCUGUGACUCUUCUCUUGCUUUGGGUGGCUUUCGCAGCUAACCUCCGGCACUGACCUGUGCGUGUGUGCACGCUCACCGGCGGUGCGAGACUGGUGAUGUUGCGACUUCCUCCCACGACUUCUCCUCUCUCUUUCUAUCUUCCCACGCCCGAACCCCUUUUUCGAAG